Vigna angularis (adzuki bean) is the source of this 4477-nucleotide long non-coding RNA. RefSeq lists it as uncharacterized. The record is from RefSeq and is a predicted model, not a curated record. Lineage: Eukaryota; Viridiplantae; Streptophyta; Magnoliopsida; Fabales; Fabaceae. The transcript is spliced from 2 exons.
UCAAAAUUUGGGCCAAAUUCAGAUGGGCCAGCGAUGAUUUAAUUGCAUCAUUGAGCUAUUGCUGCAUGGACUGAGCAUAAUUGAAACGCAGUGUUUUGGUGCUGAGUUUGCUGCUGCCUUUAGCGGUCUUUGCUCGAGACAUUCAAUUGAGGCAGAAGUAUUCCUUCGAGCUAAGUAAAAUUCAGCUUUACUUAGUUUGUUCUGUGCGACCAAAUUUAGUUAAACAAAUGGCGCCGUUGUCGGUGACUCGGCGAGUUAAGUCUUAGGGUGUUUAGGUGGUCUUGUUUAGGUUUGUUUCUUUUUGCAUAUUUCUUUUUAGUGUGCUUUGGUUUCUGUUUCUGAAGUUGUAGCAUUUGUGAGUAGUGGUUCUUAUUUCUGUGUGUUUGAUUUUUGAUUUUAUUUCUGGAAGCUGUUAUUUUUAGGUUCUUUUCCUUGUUUGUCUGUGUGCCUGGUAUAAUCUCCUUUUGAAGUGUAGUCAAGAACAGGUUCGGUACCAGGAGAUGAGAAACUCUCAGGAUUGGCCGUACAAGCUUAUAAAAAGGCUGCCUUAGUACCAUGGAGUGGCUGGAGAAGAUCCACACCUGCAUUUGAAGGAGUUCCAAGUGGUCUGCUCAACUUUUAAACCAGCAGAAGUUCCUGAAGAGUGGGUCAAGUUGAAGGCAUUCCCCUUCUCCCUUCAAGAUGCAGCCAAGGACUGGUUGUAUUACAAGACAUAUUCAUCACCAUUUGCUGCCUGGGCUGAGAUGCAGAGAAGCUUUCUGGAAAAGUUCUUCCCAGCCUCAACAACAGUCUCCAAGCAAAGAGAAAUUAGCUCCAUUAUACAACUGCAAGGAGAGACACUGAGGGAGUACUGGGACAAAUUCAACCAGCUGUGUGCCUCAUGUCCAGAUCAUCAAAUCAGUGAGCACCUUCUCAUCCUGUACUUCUGUGAUGGACUGAGCAUGAAGGAGAGAUGAUGCUGCUGCUGCUGGAGGGUCUAUUAUGGAUAAGACAGUUUUUGAAGCCAGGACUUUGAUAGCCAAGUUGAGUGGGUUUCAUGAUGAAGCUAGUGAAUCUGCUGAGAGCACAGGUUCUGAGUUGCAACCAGUAAAGACUUGAUGAUGCAGCUGAUGACUUGGAGAUUGGUAACAUAAUUUUCAAUGAGCAAAAAGAGGUUUAUUUUGAACUUGAGAUUCCAAAUACUUUACCUGAUUUGCCUAUACAUUUAAAUACCUGUGAUUUGCUGCACAUUAAUUCUAUAAAGUCUUUGGCUGAAACUGAUGUAGUUUUGAUUGAUCAUCCCAAAUUUCUUGAUUCAGUUUUAGCCAUUGAACCUGUGAAUAUGAAUGCUGUUAUUUUUUACUCAACCAUGAAUAUAGAUGAUUGCUUUGAUGUGAAUGAACUUUUGCAUGAUAGUAUCUUUGAAUUGAGUCUUGAUUCUGCUGCAGAUUCACAUGUUAGUGUUGAUUUUGAUAUAGAAACUGUGAAAACUGAAGAUGUUUUAGAUUUAGAAUUAAACUUUCAUUUUUCACAGUGCUCUGAAAACUUUAAAUGUAGUUGCGAAGCUGAUUCUUGCUCUAUUUGUAUUGAAAUUGAUGAUGUGAUACAACCAGAUUCCAACCUUAUAACAGACUUAACUGUGAGUUUGAUGGCCAGGUUGCAGAAUUAAAUGAUAAUGCAGGUGCUGAAGUCAAUAAUGAAUCCAUGGUUGAUGAAGAAGAUUGCAUUGCUACUGUUUGAAGUAAGCCAGAGGUUUUUAUCCCAGUGCCAUACACUCAAGAGCUGUCAGUGGAAGGAGAGCUGCUGCUGCAGCAGUUUGCUUGGAGAAGAGAGAAGCAACAUCUUGCUUUGGAUGAGAGGGCAGUGCUGCUCCAACCAAGUUCUCUACAGAAGCAGAUUGGUGCAGCCAGGGAGUUAAUGCAAGGAGUGGUUGAAUGCAUAAGGACAAAACUGAUAAGCUCUUUCCUUUCUUUUCUUUUGCAUAGUUUUAGAUAUUUUCUAGUAGGUAGAGUAGUUAUAGAUAACAUAGUAAAUAGUAGAGUAGAAAAUAUGUCAUUUGAAUAAAUAUUUUUUUUUCUUGUAGCUUUAUAGUUUUAGUUUUCUUUUUCUAGCUCUGUCUUGUAUAUGUUGUGUUCUUUUGGGUUUAGUUUUCUUGCUUUUGUUAUAUACGUUUUCUUGCUCAAUUUUAAUUCUUUUUCAAUUCUGUUUAGCAUAAUUAUGUCUUGUACAUAUCUGUUGUUGUCUGUUGUUGUUAGAAAACCUUCCUCACUCACAUUGAGGGCAAUGUGCCUCUUAAGUGUUGGGGUGAGAGGGUAUAGUAUAAUAUAGGUUUAAUUUUUUUUGUUUUUACCCUGUAUAUAGUUGUUAUGUCUUUGUUUCUAGUAUAAAAGUGUGAUAAUUUUUUUUUUUUGGAGUAGGUAUGUUUUAGUUUUAGAUCUGUUUUAGUUGUAGAUGCUUUGAUUGACUGUAAAUAUGUUGUAGGUAGGGUAGAUAGCCUUGCUUUGUUCCAUUUUUUUUUACAUAAUUGCUUUGUUUUUAGGAGUAGCUUCCCUUGUUUUUAGGUUCUGUUUCGUUUAGUUUUUAAAUCCUUAUUGCAAACUGAAUAGCCUAGGUUAAUUUUGUUGUUUUGCUGAAUUUCUUUGAAAGUUUGAGUUGCAUGCAUAGUUAAGGAAAACUAGCUUAAUUAGGAUAAGUUAAAGGUAGAAGUGCUUAGAGUUUUGAGAAACCAACUCUGGAAUCAACUUAGCAGAUAUUAUUACCCAGUGAGUCUUGAGCUUUAAUUCUUUGUAGUGUGUUUACACCUAGGUUAGUGACAUUCUAGAACUUGUGCAUUUUCUCUUUGAUAUAGUUGAACAGUGAGACAUUUUUGAUGUGAUUCAGGCCUUCUUGUUUUUAAGCCUCCUAUCCAAAUAGCCUAUCCCCCCAUUUCUUUUCCCAUUGUACCUUGAUUUUGAGCCUUUUAGCCUGUUCUUUGUGUUUUAGCAGCUUAUAAGCCCAUUUGAAUCUGAAAAACCAAAAAGAUACCCAAUUAGGGAGAUGUGGGAAGUUGUUUUAGAAGAGGGAAGUCUUAGAAAUUGUAGGGCAUGGGGAUGUUUGGUCAAAAAGGUAAAAAGGAAGCAGAAAAACAUAAAAAGAAAGUCUGGAUUGAAAAAAAAAAAAAAGUGGAAAGUUCAAGUCUGGUUGGUUGGUGGCAGAAAAAGAAAAGAAAAAUUUGGCACAAGAGAGUUGAGAAAUAAGAAAAGAGAAGAAAAAGGAAGUGGUUUGGUCUGGAAUAACCCCUACACUACAGAUUCAAAUUUUUUCCCCAACACUUCCACACUUCACUACGCAUUGUUAGCCUUGUUUUCCAUUUCAUUCAACCUACCCUCCACCCUAGCCUCAUUACAAGCUUUAACAAAGUCCUGAUGAUCUUGAAUGUGCAUAUGUUUAGCAGCGGAGAUUAGAUUGUGUAAAAGCCUAUGGUAAUGUUGCUUAGCCUGGUGUGUUGAGUGCUGAAAAUACCAAUGCUGAAAACACGAGAGUUGAGUGCAGACACUUACCUGUGAGGUCAAGUUGAGUCUAGAAGUUGGUUCUUUCAAAUUUUGCUGCAUAGUUGCCUUAUUUUAGCAAUUCCUAAUAUGCUUGGUUGUCUUAAUUAUGUUUUGUUAGCUUUAAAUUUUCAGGAUUUUUAGUGAUACAGUAGGAUUUGUCUAGGUGUUUUCUGUUUUGUAAAUUGGUUUUGUCUUUUUUUCAUUGUGUUUGUUUUCUUCUUUUUCUUUUCCCCUGCCCAGGAGGAUAGUUCCUUAAGUGUGGGGGUGUGUUAACUCUCCAGUAUUUGCAUAUUUUUCUAGGUUAAAACUCUUUUCUUAAGGUUUUUAGCUUUUAAUUUUUUAGAAAUAUAAUAGUUUAGUGUAAAAUGGUAAAAAUAGCUUUUAAAAAAAAUUUGGUUAAUUUUCUCUUUUUAGGCAAAUAAAAUAGGUUUUUAAGUAAUUAGAUUCUUUUUAGAAAAAUAUUUUAGAAAACAAAGUAAAAAUAUAUUUUAGAAUAGGUUAUAUUUUUUAACACAUUCUUUUUCUUUGUUGCAGGAAUUAAUAAAAGUGGGCUGAUGCUGAAGAAAAUAUAUUGGGCCAGGUCACUAAUGGGCCAGCACUGAUUGGAGAGCAGAUUUGCACCAUUGUGAUGAUGGCUGGGCUGUAGUAGCUGCCACAAGCCCGCGAGGCUGCUGUGAGGGAAUGGAAUGAAGAUUUUUUUGGGCCUUUGCCUGUCAGAAUCGAAUGAUGUUGUGCGGAAAAGAAAACAAGUGUGAUGUGCUACAAUCCGCUGGCAGAGGCUGAAGUCUCUAAGUGCUGAAAUGGUCCAAAUUCAGAUGGGCCAGCGAUGAUUUAAGUGCAUCAUUGAGCUAUUGCUGCAUGGAAUUAUACAUUCUAAUUUUAAUCCUUUAUUAAAAAUUCUAAUUUUUUUCUCCUUUCCUUUUCAGCGUCACGAAAUAAAAUGCACAUCACUUCUUCGUUUUUCUCUA